CUGAAGAGAGUUCACUCCGAACAAGGAUACAGCGGGGCUGUUUUCUCACGGGGUCCAUUUCCAUACUCCGUGCUGGGUGAGCUGAGAACAGCGAGUAUGGAAAUUUUCACCAAAAGAUCUGAGUUGAGGUGGUCUCCUUUCCAAGAGGCCUUGAAGUGGUCUGCUUUAGGGCUAGGGUCCUGCAAUUCAGCUGGCCUUUGCAUCUGAGGAUCAACAAGACACGGGAACAGAGCCAGGGUCUUGCUGGACGGAGAAGAGCAAUCCUGGACCAGCCAAUGGGAGGGUGAGUGAGGUCCUAGCUCCGCUCUGGAGCAUGAGUGAAUUCAGGGGAGAAUGAUUCAUGAAAUUCUUUCCAUGGGCACCUCAGCUGGUGCUAAAAUGGCAAAUAAAUAGAGAAAACAGUGAAAAACGAGAGGCAGGUACCUUGUGGCGUGAAGAUAUGCCUGGGAAGGGCUUCUCCUUGGAAAGCAAGAAACCUGCAUGAAUAUCUGAUGAAACAGGCAGCAAAGGUAUCAUCCGAGUUAUGAUUCAGUGAAAUGUGGCAUCGAAUUUAUAUUCGUGUCAAGGUUUAUUUUAAUAGUGUUAGUGAGGACCUUAAGCCUUAAAUCAUUAGAGUUAGAAGGGUCACUUAGCUUUUCCAGUUGGUUUCAACUGAACUUCUCAGGGGAAACUGAGCUUUGUGUUCCUAUAAAGUUGGCAGUUGGGGUUCUGAAAACUAGGGGUGUACUGGGUUUUGACCUCCUAAGCUGUAUGUGCUUAAGAAGGUGACUCCCCCAACCCCCAUCCUGGGAAUUGAAUCCAGGGAUGCUCUAACACUGAGCUACAUCCCCAGGCCUUUUAAUUUUUUAUUUUGAGACAAAAUAAAAGUUUUGCUCAGACUGGCCUCAAACUUCUUAUCCUCCUGUCUUAGCCUUCUGAGAAAGUGACUUCUUGAAAAAAAAAAUGAUCUUUUAUUUCCUCUAUGCCUGGAAGGUGCCGAAUGUCAGGGGGCAUCAGUCUCAGGGAUGAUGAGCUCCUCCUGAAAUUCUGCGUUCUGGCCAUCUUGCUAGCCUCAGCCUAGCCCUGGCCUUGAGGACAAGCCCAGCACAGAGAGGUCAGCAGGAUAAAGGAAUGAACAAAUGAAGCGAUCAGGGAAGAACAGUCAUUGGAAAUCUCCAAAUACCGGGUGUGUUCACAACCUUCCAACAGCCUGUUUCACAGAAGUUCACGAUGAGCAGAUGAACGGGCCUCAGUACUGUGCUUGUCUUAGCUCAGGCUGCUACAGCAACAGAAGAUAGGCCGGCAGCUUAAAGAAGACUGAUCCAUAAUAUGCUGGGGGUGGGGAUGGGAGGAUUAAAUGAACUCUAGAUAGGGCAAAGGGGAAAAGAGCAAAGACAGGAAGGAGGGAGAACAGGGGUAGGAAAGAUGGUGGAAUGCGAUGGUCAUCAUUACCCUAAGUAAAUGUAAGAAAACACGAAGGAUGUGACCCUACUUUGUGGACAACCAGAGAGCUGAAAAAUUGCGCUCUACACGUGUAAUUUGAAUUGUAAUGCAUUCUGUUGUCAUAUACAAAAUAUCAAAAAAUUUUUUAAAAAGAACUGUGGCACCUAAAAAUAAAAAAUAAAACAUUUUG
This 1612-nucleotide long non-coding RNA is filed under the name Marmota monax (woodchuck). The record is from RNAcentral. Lineage: Eukaryota; Metazoa; Chordata; Mammalia; Rodentia; Sciuridae.